AGGGUUUGAUCAUGGCUCAGAUUGAACGCUGGCGGCAGGCCUAACACAUGCAAGUCGAGCGGUAGAGAGAAGCUUGCUUCUCUUGAGAGCGGCGGACGGGUGAGUAAUGCCUAGGAAUCUGCCUGGUAGUGGGGGAUAACGUUCGGAAACGGACGCUAAUACCGCAUACGUCCUACGGGAGAAAGCAGGGGACCUUCGGGCCUUGCGCUAUCAGAUGAGCCUAGGUCGGAUUAGCUAGUUGGUGAGGUAAUGGCUCACCAAGGCGACGAUCCGUAACUGGUCUGAGAGGAUGAUCAGUCACACUGGAACUGAGACACGGUCCAGACUCCUACGGGAGGCAGCAGUGGGGAAUAUUGGACAAUGGGCGAAAGCCUGAUCCAGCCAUGCCGCGUGUGUGAAGAAGGUCUUCGGAUUGUAAAGCACUUUAAGUUGGGAGGAAGGGCAGUAAAUUAAUACUUUGCUGUUUUGACGUUACCGACAGAAUAAGCACCGGCUAACUCUGUGCCAGCAGCCGCGGUAAUACAGAGGGUGCAAGCGUUAAUCGGAAUUACUGGGCGUAAAGCGCGCGUAGGUGGUUUGUUAAGUUGGAUGUGAAAUCCCCGGGCUCAACCUGGGAACUGCAUUCAAAACUGACUGACUAGAGUAUGGUAGAGGGUGGUGGAAUUUCCUGUGUAGCGGUGAAAUGCGUAGAUAUAGGAAGGAACACCAGUGGCGAAGGCGACCACCUGGACUAAUACUGACACUGAGGUGCGAAAGCGUGGGGAGCAAACAGGAUUAGGUACCCUGGUAGUCCACGCCGUAAACGAUGUCAACUAGCCGUUGGAAGCCUUGAGCUUUUAGUGGCGCAGCUAACGCAUUAAGUUGACCGCCUGGGGAGUACGGCCGCAAGG
Molecule: ribosomal RNA, 890 nt
Filed under: uncultured Gammaproteobacteria bacterium
Lineage: Bacteria; Pseudomonadati; Pseudomonadota; Gammaproteobacteria
Description: bacterial SSU rRNA
Rfam family: Bacterial small subunit ribosomal RNA
Source: RNAcentral